Molecule: ribosomal RNA, 954 nt
Filed under: uncultured organism
Description: bacterial SSU rRNA
Rfam family: Bacterial small subunit ribosomal RNA
Source: RNAcentral
CCUGGCUCAGGAUGAACGCUGGCGGUCUGCUUAACACAUGCAAGUCGAACGCAACCUUCGGGUUGAGUGGCGGACGGGUGAGUAACGCGUGAGAAUCUGCCUUGGGGUCGGGGACAACCACUGGAAACGGUGGCUAAUACCGGAUAAGCCUUUGGGUAAAAAAUUUAUUGCCCCAAGAGGAGCUCGCGUCUGAUUAGCUAGUUGGUGAGGUAAAAGCUCACCAAGGCAGCGAUCAGUAGCUGGUCUGAGAGGACGAUCAGCCACACUGGGACUGAGACACGGCCCAGACUCCUACGGGAGGCAGCAGUGGGGAAUUUUCCGCAAUGGGCGAAAGCCUGACGGAGCAAGACCGCGUGAGGGAGGAAGGCUCUUGGGUUGUAAACCUCUUUUCUCAGGGAAGAAGCUCUGACGGUACCUGAGGAAUCAGCCUCGGCUAACUCCGUGCCAGCAGCCGCGGUAAUACGGAGGAGGCAAGCGUUAUCCGGAAUUAUUGGGCGUAAAGCGUCCGCAGGUGGCGAUUCAAGUCUGCUGUCAAAGCACGGGGCUUAACUCCGUUAAGGCAGUGGAAACUGAAUAGCUAGAGUGCCGUAGGGGUAGAGGGAAUUCCCGGUGUAGCGGUGAAAUGCGUAGAGAUCGGGAAGAACAUCGGUGGCGAAAGCGCUCUACUGGACGGCAACUGACACUCAGGGACGAAAGCUAGGGGAGCGAAUGGGAUUAGAUACCCCAGUAGUCCUAGCUGUAAACGAUGGAUACUAGGUGUAGCUUGUAUCGACCCGAGCUGUGCCGAAGCUAACGCGUUAAGUAUCCCGCCUGGGGAGUACGCACGCAAGUGUGAAACUCAAAGGAAUUGACGGGGGCCCGCACAAGCGGUGGAGUAUGUGGUUUAAUUCGAUGCAACGCGAAGAACCUUACCAGGGCUUGACAUGUCCGGAAUCCCGGUGAAAGCUGGGAGUG